Molecule: long non-coding RNA, 2213 nt
Filed under: Brassica napus (rape)
Lineage: Eukaryota; Viridiplantae; Streptophyta; Magnoliopsida; Brassicales; Brassicaceae
Description: long non-coding RNA (BNAP_LNC007256)
Source: RNAcentral
CUCCGACCUCUAUGUCCUCCACCGGCAAGACAAAAUCAUCUGCCGACGAUGUGACCGGAGACGUCGAGUAGGGAGCGAUCGUGGUCGUGGGAGACUUAGUCGUCGGCUGAUCAGAGGAGGUUUUCUGACGGGUGCUUCCGGCGAGAGAGUUACGGUGAGUAGGAGCUGGGUGAUUGUGCUCCGCCGUGUAAGUGACGAUGAACAUCGUCGGGUCGGAUCUGUUUCGCUCCACUUGUUUACGGGCUAAACAUCCUUUCGAUGUACUGCAUCUGUAAUAUCCUCUGUUUUUAACAAAAGAAAGUAAAAAUUUAGAAACACAGAAUCACAAAGACAUACACAGACAAGUGUUUUGUCUUGAAAUAAUAACACAAUUAAAGAACAUUAAAUGUUUUUUACUGUAAAGAUUUAAUCUUUUUUUUCAUUGUAACAGUACCUUGGAUAGGGUGAGCCUUUGAUGGGUUUUUGUCCGUACUUUCGCCACGCCCAGACAUCGUUGUUUAAAGCUUCUGCUGCUACAUGGCACACUUUCUUAUGCUGUAUCUUUCUGCAACAAACACACAAGAGACUUUUUUAGUUUGGUUCGACAAAAGGUUUGAGCUUUUGUUGAACUGGUGAAAAGAGACAGAGAUCGAACCUUCUUUUAGAUCUAGAGGUGUUGGAGGCUCCUGUGGGUUUGCUAGUGACGCUGCCGGAAGAAGCAGAGAGAGAAAGGGGACGUUUCUGGUUUUGUCUCUGUCGGGGCUCUUCUGGGUAAUUCAGACAAGAAAACGACGAGGCGUUUGAUUCUUGCGUGAACGGCGUGUAGAGAUCUCGAGUCUCUCCGAAGACGACGGUGUUACUUCUUGGUUCGAAGGUGAAAACAGGGCUCGUGUGGGAUGAAACGUUGCUGGAGAAGACGGUGGCUGUGGUGGUUGCUGAUGAGCUGAACAUGGAUAGCGAAUCCUCCUCUGGUACGAUGUUUUUCAUCAGCGGCUCCUCCAAUGGUCCCACUCUCUCUAGCUUCUCCUCCUCCUUCUCCAUUCUCCUCUUUCUUCUCUCUCGAUCGCUUGCCGAUGUAACGGAUUCGAGAAAUAAUAGAGGCAAAAGCUGUUUAUAUACCCACUCGAGCCUAGUGGUUCGUUAUGCCCCGAGCCUUGUGUUCUAAAGCUCUCUCAACAACUUUUUGUUGUACUUAUGAAUGUGGGCCUGAUAGUCAGUCGGCCCAAGGCUCAACCCAUACUAAAAACAACGCGUUGAAGGUAAAAGCAGCAGCACCAUGGCAAUUGCUUUGCCCAUACCAUACCCCGAACUAUGGCAUGUGCCAUGUUUAGCAUUUAAUGAAAGUAAAAACUUUUUCUUCGAAACUUGUUAACCAUAUAAAUAAUCACUGUUAAAUAGAGUGAUAGUGUCAGGCAGACAGGGUCUAUUAAUGGUAAUUCAAUUGUACUAACUGAAAAAGUACUUAUUUUCUAAAGUUUAUCAGUUUCGAAUCUUUGUUUACAUUAUAAAUUAAAUAUUUUAUAUUUUUCAAAAAAUCGACUUUUAGGAUUUCGUUUGAUUUAACAUUUUUUUUGCUGCGAAAAUAUAAUUAUUGUGAAAAGAACUUAUACUGCAUACGAAUAUUGGGCAUAAAGAAUAUACAAUUAAAAUUUUCUAAAAUUAUUUAGAAACAAAAAGAGAAUAAAAGCAACAAAGAACAAUUUUUCUAUUUUUACAUAUAAUCCGAGAAUAAUUCCAUAAUCCUAUAUCCUUCCUAAAAGAAGUAUUCUUUCUGUCUACACCUCACUCUACUCCCCGGCGAAUCAUAUUCCACCGCUAGCUGUGGCAGCGCUGUUCACAACCCAAGAAAGAUCGAAACUCGCCGGAGCAGAGUUCCCGGAAAAGCUAUCUCCCACGGCGAAUUCCUCCAACCCCUCGAAGAAGUCCUCGCUCACCACCGUAUCCGACAAAGACAGCAGAUCCUCGUCUCCGACCUCUAUGUCCUCCACCGGCAAGACAAAAUCAUCUGCCGACGAUGUGACCGGAGACGUCGAGUAGGGAGCGAUCGUGGUCGUGGGAGACUUAGUCGUCGGCUGAUCAGAGGAGGUUUUCUGACGGGUGCUUCCGGCGAGAGAGUUACGGUGAGUAGGAGCUGGGUGAUUGUGCUCCGCCGUGUAAGUGACGAUGAACAUCGUCGGGUCGGAUCUGUUUCGCUCCACUUGUUUACGGGCUAAACAUCCUUUCGAUGUACUGCA